RNAcentral lists this long non-coding RNA (627 nucleotides) under Apteryx rowi (Okarito brown kiwi). RNAcentral describes it as "lncRNA (ENSARWG00000002594.1)". Lineage: Eukaryota; Metazoa; Chordata; Aves; Apterygiformes; Apterygidae. The record is from RNAcentral.
UUUGGUACUGUCUGUAGCUGGCAUCAAGGUCCAGACCUCCAAAAUCAGAUUUCCUGAUGCAAUAAAGGAUGGAGGGUGAGACCACAUCGUGUAAGGAAGGCUGGUGCUGUGAUUAGUGUGCUUAUCAGGAACUUCUGAGAAACACCAUUUAGCUGCUGUGCCACAGCCCUGCAAAGAAAGCCUCAGAACUGGUACUUCAUAUGGGGAGAGAGGACCAGUGACACUGGGAAUCACUUGAAUGAGAAGCAAAGUGAGAAAUCAGCUGUGAUGAAAGAAAAAAUUCCAUGGAGCCACAAGACAAAAAUCAAGAGAUGGAAAGCUGGAUGGCAGCAUUUCAGUAAGGUGAGGAAAAUGUGUAUGAAACUUGUGAGAUGGUGUUGCAUAUCCAGUACCAGAAGUCCUUGGGCCAGAAGUGCUUCUGCUGUACACCACCAAAAGGGAUCAUCAGUGGAACAACGGAUCAUCAAUUGGGUUUCAACCGCUGGAAGACAGAAAUGGAAAAUAUCUGGCAAUUCUAAAAAAGGAAUGGGUGCAAUCCCUCUGCCAUGGAAGUUUCGCUAGCAAGACAUCUGCCCUUUGCAGACUUUGGAAAACAAAGAUGUGGAAAUAAAUUCAAGUGUGUCUACA